CCGAGCUGUGGUGCAGGCUGAGCGUUGAGCUUCUAUCCAGAGCUGACGGGAGGUUUUCCAGAGGGAUGUUUUGCUGUUGGAAAGUGCAGAUUUCUCAACCCCCAAAUUCCCCGUGGGAAUGCGCCGACCACAAAGCAAAAAGUGCCCCCCAAAUGGACAGGGUUCUGCCCUGACAGUUU
This is a long non-coding RNA of Chrysemys picta bellii (western painted turtle), 179 nucleotides long. RefSeq lists it as uncharacterized. The record is from RefSeq and is a predicted model, not a curated record. NCBI's taxonomy places the organism in Eukaryota, Metazoa, Chordata, Testudines, Emydidae.